GACGAACGCUGGCGGCGCGCUUAACACAUGCAAGUCGCACGGUGAACGGGGCUUCGGCCCCGGGAUCAGUGGCGAACGGGUGCGUACCACGUGGGCAACCUGCCCCUCACUCUGGGAUAACCCCGGGAAACCGGAGCUAAUACCGGAUACUCCGGCCGAUCCGCAUGGUUCGGCCGGGAAAGGUCCGCCGGUGAGGGGAUGGGCCCGCGGCCUAUCAGCUUGUUGGUGAGGUAACGGCUCACCAAGGCGA
This 250-nucleotide ribosomal RNA is filed under the name uncultured Actinomycetes bacterium. RNAcentral's name for it is "uncultured actinobacterium partial 16S ribosomal RNA". It matches the Rfam family "Bacterial small subunit ribosomal RNA", at positions 28 to 276 of the family's 1533-position model. The record is from RNAcentral. Lineage: Bacteria; Bacillati; Actinomycetota; Actinomycetes.